CAGUAGCCGCGGUAAUACGAAGGGGGCUAGCGUUGCUCGGAAUGACUGGGCGUAAAGGGCGCGUAGGCGGCGGCCAAAGUCAGGCGUGAAAUUCCCGGGCUCAACCUGGGGGCUGCGUUUGAUACUUGGUUGCUUGAGUGGGGAAGAGGGUCGUGGAAUUCCCAGUGUAGAAGUGAAAUUCGUAGAUAUUGGGAAGAACACCGGUGGCGAAGGCGGCGACCUGGUCCUUUACUGACGCUGAGGCGCGAAAGCGUGGGGAGCAAACAGGAUUAGAUACCCCUGUAGUCCCUGUCUCUUAUAC
RNAcentral lists this ribosomal RNA (301 nucleotides) under uncultured bacterium. RNAcentral describes it as "partial 16S ribosomal RNA". It matches the Rfam family "Bacterial small subunit ribosomal RNA", at positions 509 to 807 of the family's 1533-position model. The record is from RNAcentral.